UACCGAGGGUGCGAGCGUUAAUCGGAAUUACUGGGCGUAAAGCGUGCGUAGACGGUUAUGUCAGUCGGGUGUGAAAGCCCCGGGCUCAACCUGGGAAUUGCAUUCGAGACUGCAUAGCUAGGGUGCGGAAGAGGGAAGCGGAAUUUCCGGUGUAGCGGUGAAAUGCGUAGAUAUCGGAAGGAACACCAGUGGCGAAAGCGGCUUCCUGGUCCAGCACAGACGUUCAGGCACGAAAGCGUGGGGAGCAAACAGG
RNAcentral lists this ribosomal RNA (253 nucleotides) under uncultured bacterium. Its description in RNAcentral is "partial 16S ribosomal RNA". It matches the Rfam family "Bacterial small subunit ribosomal RNA", at positions 524 to 776 of the family's 1533-position model. The record is from RNAcentral.